Non-coding RNA from Peromyscus maniculatus bairdii (prairie deer mouse), 773 nucleotides. The record is from RefSeq and is a predicted model, not a curated record. NCBI's taxonomy places the organism in Eukaryota, Metazoa, Chordata, Mammalia, Rodentia, Cricetidae.
CAGAAGAGGGUGCUGGAUCCUCUGGAACCGGAGUUACCGACAGUUGUGAGUUGACGUGGGGGUGCUGGGAACCGAACCCAGGUUCUCUAGGAAAGCAGCAAGUGUUCUUCGCCCCUGAGGCCUCUCUUUAGUCUCCACCUUUGAGCAGGGUUCCUCACUGAACCUGGAGCCCGUUACCGCCUAGUCUGAUGUCCAGCAAGACCUGCCCGUCCCGGCCUCCCUGGCGCCGGCAUUACGCGUGAGCCCGGGAUCCAGGCUCAGGACGUUACGCUUUCGUGGCAGCCUCUUUACUGACUGAGCCGUCGUCCUAGCCGCUCUGACCGGUGAACUCGAUAUGGCUGUUUCCUCAGCUACAGGGGCUGUGCCUUCCUCAGCUACGCUGUGUGUCUGGCUGCUGCUGUCUACAGCAGCGUUUCCUCCCGUCUGUCGGGGGCUGGGGUGGGCAGACCGCAUGAUUGCAGUCAGGUCAGGGCGCUCCCCGCCUCAACACUCGGCCUUUGCUUCACCUCCAACAGACACCUGGCAUUAGGAGGUCGUCGGGGUCAUGUGGCUGCCCUCGACUGCGUGACAAAGAAGCUCACGUGUGAGAUCAACGUCAUGGAAGCCGUGCGGGACAUCCACUUCCUCCAUUCAGAGACACUGGGGCGUUAAGUGUCUCUGUCCAUAGCAGAUGAGAGACAAGGAAACUCCAGCCAGGAACCCCGGCGCCUCUAGAGAACUGAAGUUUUCUUUCCCGGACUCUAUAUACCUAAUAGAAGCUUCAUGUUAUGUGA